RNAcentral lists this ribosomal RNA (468 nucleotides) under uncultured bacterium. Its description in RNAcentral is "partial 16S ribosomal RNA". It matches the Rfam family "Bacterial small subunit ribosomal RNA", at positions 28 to 507 of the family's 1533-position model. The record is from RNAcentral.
GACGAACGCUGGCGGCGUGCUUAACACAUGCAAGUCGAACGGAAAGGCCCUGCUUUUGUGGGGUGCUCGAGUGGCGAACGGGUGAGUAACACGUGAGUAACCUGCCCUUGACUUUGGGAUAACUUCAGGAAACUGGGGCUAAUACCGGAUAGGAGCUCCUGCUGCACGGUGGGGGUUGGAGAGUUUCGGCGGUUGGGGAUGGACUCGCGGCUUAUCAGCUUGUUGGUGGGGUAGUGGCUUACCAAGGCUUUGACGGGUAGCCGGCAUGAGAGGGUGACCGGCCACAUUGGGACUGAGGUACGGACCAGACUCCUACGGGAGGCAGCAGUGGAGAGUAUUGCACAAUGGGCGGAAGCCUGAUGUAGCGACGCCGCGUGCGGGAUGACGGCCUUCGGGUUGUAAACCGCUUUCGCCUGUGACGAAGCGUGAGUGACGGUAAUGGGUAAAGAAGCACCGGCUAACUACGUG